GCAUUGGUGGUUCAGUGGUAGAAUUCUCGCCUGCCACGCGGGAGGCCUGGGUUCGAUAUCCGGCCAAUGCA
This 71-nucleotide transfer RNA is filed under the name Callipepla squamata (scaled quail). It matches the Rfam family "tRNA". From Rfam's summary of the family: Transfer RNA (tRNA) molecules are approximately 80 nucleotides in length. Lineage: Eukaryota; Metazoa; Chordata; Aves; Galliformes; Odontophoridae. The record is from Rfam by way of RNAcentral.